This 465-nucleotide ribosomal RNA is filed under the name uncultured bacterium. Its description in RNAcentral is "partial 16S ribosomal RNA". It matches the Rfam family "Bacterial small subunit ribosomal RNA", at positions 28 to 507 of the family's 1533-position model. The record is from RNAcentral.
GACGAACGCUGGCGGCGUGCUUAACACAUGCAAGUCGAACGGAAAGGCCCUGCUUGCAGGGUACUCGAGUGGCGAACGGGUGAGUAACACGUGGGUGAUCUGCCCUGCACUUCGGGAUAAGCCUGGGAAACUGGGUCUAAUACCUGAUAGGAGCCACUAUUAGUGUGAUGGUUGGAAAGUUUUUUCGGUGUAGGAUGAGCUCGCGGCCUAUCAGCUUGUUGGUGGGGUAAUGGCCUACCAAGGCGGCGACGGGUAGACGGCCUGAGAGGGUGGACGGCCACAUUGGGACUGAGAGACGGCCCAGGCUGCGACGGGAGGAAGCAGUGGGGAAGACUGCACAAUGGGCGCAAGCCUGAUGCAGCGACGCCGCGUGGGGGAUGACGGCCUUCGGGUUGUAAAAUCCUUUCGCGAGGGACGAAGCUUGUUGUGACGGUACCUAGAUAAGAAGCACCGGCUAACUACGUG